GCAGUAGUCAUAUGCUUGUCUCAAAGCUUAAGCCAUGCAAGUCUCAGUACAGACUAUAUUAAAGUGAAACCGCAAAAGGCUCAGUAAACCAGUUUUAAUUUACUAGAGUUAACUUGACUGUGCUUGGAUAACUGUGGUAAUUCUAGAGCUAAUACAUGCAACAAAGCCGUGACCAUUCGUGGUCAGGGCGCUUUUAUUAGACCAAGACCAAUCGCCCGGCCAGUCCGGGCGUUAAGUUGAGGAACCUAGAUAACACAGCAGAUCGCAUGGUCUUUGUACCGGCGACCUAUCUUUCAAAUGCCUGACUUAUCAACUGACGAUGGUAGACUCUGUGUCUACCAUGGCUGUUACGGGUAACGGGGAAUCAGGGUUCGAUUCCGGAGAGGGAGCCUGAGAAACGGCUACCACAUCCAAGGAAGGCAGCAGGCACGCAAAUUACCCACUCCCGGAACGGGGAGGUAGUGACAAAAAAUAACGAUACGGGACUCGAUAUGAGGCCUCGUAAUCGGAAUGAGUACACUCUAAAUCCUUUAACAAAAAUCUAUUGGAGGGCAAGUCUGGUGCCAGCAGCCGCGGUAAUUCCAGCUCCAAUAGCGUAUAUUAAAGUUGUUGCGGUUAAAAAGCUCGUAGUUGGUUCUGCGUCCCGCGCUGUCGGUACACCGUUUGUCGGUGACACUGGCAUGACGCGGGAUGUCCUGUCGGUGGCGGCGGAGACCAUAUCGCCGUCGGCUAACACCGCGGCGUGUUGGCCUUCUGUCGCCGGCUUUAUCCUACCGCGGUGCUCUUCACUGAGUGUCGAGGUAGGCCGACACGUUUACUUUGAACAAAUUAGAGUGCUUAAAGCAGGCAAAAAUCUCUGCCAGAAUAGUGGUGCAUGGAAUAAUGGAACAGGACCUUGGUUCUAUUCUGUUGGUCUCCGGAACACAAGGUAAUGAUCAAUGUGGACAGGCGGGGGCAUUCGUAUUGCGGCGUUAGAGGUGAAAUUCUUGGAUCGUCGCAAGACGCACUAGAGCGAAAGCAAUUGCCAAGUAUGUCUUAAUUGAUCAAGAACGAAAGUUAAAGGUUCGAAGGCGAUCAGA
This 1079-nucleotide ribosomal RNA is filed under the name Cimex sp. RNAcentral's name for it is "SSU rRNA". It matches the Rfam family "Eukaryotic small subunit ribosomal RNA", at positions 17 to 1012 of the family's 1831-position model. Lineage: Eukaryota; Metazoa; Arthropoda; Insecta; Hemiptera; Cimicidae. The record is from RNAcentral.